GGGAGUUUGGCCGAGUGGUUAAGGCGCCGUGUUUAGGAUCUGCUGAGCUUUGUCUCAGCAUUCCAUAGACCCGCGGUGGGAAACCGCGCAGGUUCGAAUCCUGCAGCUCUCA
RNAcentral lists this transfer RNA (112 nucleotides) under Rosellinia necatrix. It matches the Rfam family "tRNA". Rfam says of the family: Transfer RNA (tRNA) molecules are approximately 80 nucleotides in length. The record is from Rfam by way of RNAcentral. Lineage: Eukaryota; Fungi; Ascomycota; Sordariomycetes; Xylariales; Xylariaceae.